Molecule: long non-coding RNA, 1184 nt
Organism: Phragmites australis (common reed)
Lineage: Eukaryota; Viridiplantae; Streptophyta; Magnoliopsida; Poales; Poaceae
Exons: 2
Source: RefSeq, a predicted model, not a curated record
UAAAAAAAGUGUUAAAUAUUUACAUAAAAAUUAUAUUUUGUAAUAUAGAUAAAGACUAUAACUACUUAAAUAUAAUUAAUUAUCUUAUUAGCACUAAUAUCCUUCGGACGUCAAGCACGAAGCAAUAGAUGCUCGCUGGCUUGCCGCUCCAAUCGUUCGUUUCCGCCGUCGCCCAGCCUCCCUUGCGAGCAUGCAUCAACCCCUCGUCACCGGCGGUUCCCCUCCCACGGCCGCGGUCGCUGAUGAAGCUCGUGGAUCCGGCGACCUCGCAUCACUGGGUCUCGCGACGCCGGCGGCCUAGGGCGUAUGCUCACUUGACGUCACCGUCCAGAUGUGUAGACCAGCAGGGUGCGGGGGUGCGUGAAGCCCAUGGAUGUGGGUGGCGGUCUAAGCACAGACCAAGAAAGUUUGCCAUGGAUUUGAGAUCUGCCUUUAGGCCACCCACAGUGUGUGAAAAAGUCGGUGCUUCACCGGGAGAGGGAAAGACGAGGCACCGAUGCCGGCCACUGCAGCACUCGAUGCUACAAGAAUUUUCCGGCACCGAAGCAAGUAGAACCACCGAUGCCUGGGAAAAAAAUUGGGCUGGUCCACUCCGUGCUUAGGCUCGGGUGUCGGGUCCCCCUCGGCCGCGCGCCCGUCGGACUCCGGGCUUCACCUCGACGACGAUUUGGGGCUUGAUUUGUCCGAUUUGCGAAGGAUUUGUUGGAAUUGGGGCUGAAUUGGAUCGAUUUGGUCUUGGAUUGAGUGAGUUUGGUUCUAGAUUAUUGAUCAUGAAUAAUAUUGUUGAUUUUUAAGACCUGAAAAUUCAUGAAUCGGACCCUGGUGUCCUGUUUUUGACCGGGUAGAUCUUCUUCUUUAUAUAUGUCGUCAUGGCACAAUUCAUUGAAGUCUUCCUCGUCCUCAACUAUCGUACUAUGCAGAAUCAUACAUGAUAUGUUCAAGUUCUUGCCUUUUGCCAUAGUCGUGCUCGUUCAACUAUAAUAGUCCAACGUUUUUGCAGAACCUAAAAGCACAUUCGACAUCUUUUCUUGCUGCCUCUUCAUGCCGAGCAAACAAUUCAUUCUUCUGGCUUAGAGGUGCAGGGUUUGUUUUGACAAAUGUUGUUCACUUGGGAGAAAUUCUAUCAGCUAAGUAGUGCCUCCAUAUUAUAUUUUGACCUAUUAACAGUAAAUGUAACUUCUAGA